Molecule: ribosomal RNA, 253 nt
Filed under: uncultured bacterium
Lineage: Bacteria
Description: partial 16S ribosomal RNA
Rfam family: Bacterial small subunit ribosomal RNA
Source: RNAcentral
UACGAGAGCCUCGAGCGUUAUCCGGAAUUAUUGGGCGUAAAGGGUGCGUAGGUUGUUCUGUUAGUCUUUUGUCAAAUCCCCGAGCUUAACUUGGGAGUCGCGAGAGAAACGGCAGAACUUGAAAGUGCGAGAGGCGUACGGAACUCAUGGUGUAGGGGUGAAAUCCGUUGAUAUCAUGGGGAACACCAAAAGCGAAGGCAGUACGCUGGCGCAUAUUUGACACUGAAGCACGAAAGCGUGGGUAGCGAAUGGG